GAGAGGUAUAAGAGGUUGUGAGAUAGACACCCUGUGGUUGUUGGGAGUAGAACCUGAGUCCUCUGCGGGAACAAUUGUUCUUAGUAGGAGUCUUCUCCUCAGCCCCAAUGAGGCAUUUUAAAUAAGCCUUUUGACUUUGGGUGAUUUAAAGCUGUAAUUCUAAGGUGAAUGACAUCUGCCUCUUGAGUCAGGGUUGGCUAAGACAUAUCACAGCUCCUCCCCAGGCCUAAAUGUCUGUGAGUAGAGAAACUCACUUCAGCAGCUGAGACAUGGAACAUGGAUGAAACCCACUGCAAAAACAAAACAGUGCCCUGUGUGGAAGCUCCUGCUGUUAAUCCCAGCACACAGGAGGCAGGAGCAAGCAGACCUCUGUGAGUUCGAGGCCCACCUGGUGGACAUAGUAAGUGCCUGGGCUACCUAGAGAGACACUGCCUCCAGAAAGCCAAACCCCAACCCAACGUAAACCAAAUCAAAAGAAACAAUAACAACAACAAAAGCCCAUGAAAGUGAAAGAGGAAAAAAACAAA
Molecule: long non-coding RNA, 527 nt
Filed under: Rattus norvegicus (Norway rat)
Lineage: Eukaryota; Metazoa; Chordata; Mammalia; Rodentia; Muridae
Description: long non-coding RNA NONRATT008928
Source: RNAcentral